GGAGCGGCCUCGGCCUCGGCCUCAGCCCGCCGCCCCGAAGCUGUGGGGCGCGCGGCGGCCUCUGCUCCGACACGUGCUCGUGCUGUGGGGGGGCACGUGCCGGCCCCGCCCUCCCCCUCCGUGCGCACGUGGCACGCCCCUGCCUCACGGUGCCCCCCACCUCUGUCUUCUCAGGGGUGCCCGUCUCUGCCCCUCUUCCCCUGAGGGGUGCCCGUGCCUGGCAGGGAGUGCUUGGAUCCAACAGCCCAGCGGCGCAGGUCUCCUUUUUCAUCUUGAAGUGUGAUUCAGGAAGCUGAAGCCAGAGGGCUGUGUACAGACUCAGUUUCUGGUCCCUUUAUCGGUUGUCAGAGUUCAAAUAAAGCUUUCAGUGGAUUGCUGUUUCCUUUCUUUUUUCAUUUAUCAAAUUCUAUAAUAUUUUAUUCAUAUCUUAUUUGAUACAUAGAUAUUGUUUGAACAUAUAAUAGAAUAAGCUACUUAAAUGCUU
Gavialis gangeticus (Gharial) is the source of this 484-nucleotide long non-coding RNA. RefSeq lists it as uncharacterized. The record is from RefSeq and is a predicted model, not a curated record. The transcript is spliced from 2 exons. Lineage: Eukaryota; Metazoa; Chordata; Crocodylia; Gavialidae.